Molecule: ribosomal RNA, 253 nt
Filed under: uncultured bacterium
Lineage: Bacteria
Description: partial 16S ribosomal RNA
Rfam family: Bacterial small subunit ribosomal RNA
Source: RNAcentral
UACAGAGGUCCCAAGCGUUGUUCGGAUUCACUGGGCGUAAAGGGUGCGUGGGCGGUCGGGUAAGUCUGAUGUGAAAUCUCACAGCUUAACUGUGAAACUGCAUUGGAUACUAUCCGGCUUGAGGAAUGGAGGGGAGACUGGAAUACUUGGUGUAGCAGUGAAAUGCGUAGAUAUCAAGUGGAACACCAGUGGCGAAGGCGAGUCUCUGGACAUUUCCUGACGCUGAGGCACGAAAGCCAGGGGAGCAAACGGG